UACAGAGGGGGCAAGCGUUGUUCGGAAUUACUGGGCGUAAAGGGCGCGUAGGCGGCCGCCUAAGUCAGACGUGAAAUCCCUCGGCUCAACCGGGGAACUGCGUCUGAUACUGGGUGGCUUGAAUUCGGGAGAGGGAUGCGGAAUUCCAGGUGUAGCGGUGAAAUGCGUAGAUAUCUGGAGGAACACCGAUGGCGAAGGCAGGUCUCUGGGCCACUACUGACGCUGAGAAGCGAAAGCGUGGGGAGCGAACAGG
RNAcentral lists this ribosomal RNA (253 nucleotides) under uncultured bacterium. Its description in RNAcentral is "partial 16S ribosomal RNA". It matches the Rfam family "Bacterial small subunit ribosomal RNA", at positions 524 to 776 of the family's 1533-position model. The record is from RNAcentral.